AUGAGGCAGCUGGGGCUCCUCCUGUGCCUGCUGGCAGUCCCCCAGGGUGUCAGGUCCCAGGUGCAGCUGCAGGAGUCGGGCCUAGGAAUGGUGAAGCCCUCGCAGACCCUCUCCCUCAUCUGCACUGUCUCUGGAUUCUCUAUCACAACUAGUAGUUAUGGCUGGAUCUGGAUCCACCAGUCCCCAGUGAAGGGGCUGGAAUAUAUCGGGUACAUAACUGGUGGUGGAAGUACUUCCUACAGCCGGUCCCUCAAGAGCCGAGCCUCCAUCUCCAGAGACACAUCCACGAAUCAGUUCUCCCUGCAGCUGAGCUCCUUGAGCACCGAGGACUCAGCUGUGUAUUACUGUGCAAGAGACACA
Molecule: non-coding RNA, 360 nt
Organism: Pteronotus mesoamericanus
Lineage: Eukaryota; Metazoa; Chordata; Mammalia; Chiroptera; Mormoopidae
Source: the annotation of a RefSeq genome assembly